Molecule: ribosomal RNA, 253 nt
Filed under: uncultured bacterium
Lineage: Bacteria
Description: partial 16S ribosomal RNA
Rfam family: Bacterial small subunit ribosomal RNA
Source: RNAcentral
UACGGAAGGGGCGAGCGUUGUUCGGAAUCAUUGGGCGUAAAGGGUGCGUAGGCGGCGCGGUAAGUCGGGUGUGAAAUCUCGGAGCUUAACUCCGAAACUGCAUUCGAUACUGCCGUGCUUGAGGACUGGAGAGGAGACUGGAAUUUACGGUGUAGCGGUGAAAUGCGUAGAUAUCGUAAGGAAGACCAGUGGCGAAGGCGGGUCUCUGGACAGUUCCUGACGCUGAGGCACGAAGGUCAGGGGAGCAAACGGG